ACAGUCUUGAGUGUCACAGAUAAUUGCCUCUGCUAUUUGGGUAACUUAGACUUGGGAGCGCAGAAUUGCUGCCAACUUCCUGAUUAUUCACCAUUUUCCUCUUGCAGUUGAGGACUUUCAUGCUGUGUUUCUGCUGAAAUGCUUGAAAUUCAGCAGGUCCAUUCUAAUUCCUAGCAGAUUCCUAGAAACUGGAUAUAAGCAAGCAUACAGUGUACGUGACCUCUGGAUGCCAAGGGAGCCUUGCUAUGUGAAAGGUAGAUGCCAGAGAGCUAACUUUUCCAAAGACGAGCAUAAAUCAGAAAUGAGUUUGCUAAUCUCCCAGGAGAUGCGAUAGGUUUCAUAGGGUAUUGGAAAAUUUGGUUAAGAUACUGUACUCUCUGCAAUAAAUAUCUUUUUUCUUUUCCUCCCUACAACCCCAGUCAUCCACUCACAGUUUUCUGUAACCCUUUAAAAAAAAAAAAAAA
This is a non-coding RNA of Meleagris gallopavo (turkey), 464 nucleotides long. The record is from RefSeq and is a predicted model, not a curated record. NCBI's taxonomy places the organism in Eukaryota, Metazoa, Chordata, Aves, Galliformes, Phasianidae.